RNAcentral lists this non-coding RNA (66 nucleotides) under Agreia bicolorata. Lineage: Bacteria; Bacillati; Actinomycetota; Actinomycetes; Micrococcales; Microbacteriaceae. The record is from RNAcentral.
UGAUGGCCCGGAACGAUGGCCACCGGACGAGGGCGCAGUACCCGGAACGCGACAAGACUGACCACC